This 458-nucleotide ribosomal RNA is filed under the name uncultured bacterium. Its description in RNAcentral is "bacterial SSU rRNA". It matches the Rfam family "Bacterial small subunit ribosomal RNA", at positions 28 to 479 of the family's 1533-position model. The record is from RNAcentral.
GAUGAACGCUGGCGGCGUGCCUAAUACAUGCAAGUCGAACGAAUCUUCUUCGGAAGAUGAGUGGCGAACGGGUGAGUAAUACAUAGGUAACCUGCCCCUGUGCGGGGGAUAACAGGAGGAAACUCCUGCUAAUACCGCAUAGCCAUGAGCACCGCAUGGAGCUCAUGCCAAAUAUCCUUCAGGGGAUAGCGCAGGGAUGGACCUAUGGCGCAUUAGCUAGUUGGCGGGGCAACGGCCCACCAAGGCAACGAUGCGUAGCCGGCCUGAGAGGGCGGACGGCCACAUUGGGACUGAGACACGGCCCAGACUCCUACGGGAGGCAGCAGUAGGGAAUUUUCGGCAAUGGGGGAAACCCUGACCGAGCAACGCCGCGUGAGCGAAGAAGGCCUUCGGGUCGUAAAGCUCUGUUGUAAAGGAAGAACGUCGCAUGCAGGAAAUGGUGUGCGAGUGACGGUACU